This 497-nucleotide ribosomal RNA is filed under the name uncultured bacterium. Its description in RNAcentral is "partial 16S ribosomal RNA". It matches the Rfam family "Bacterial small subunit ribosomal RNA", at positions 28 to 507 of the family's 1533-position model. The record is from RNAcentral.
GACGAGCGCUGGCGGCGUGCCUAAUACAUGCAAGUUGAGCGAUGAAGAUUGGUGCUUGCACCAAUUUGAAGAGCAGCGAACGGGUGAGUAACGCGUGGGGAAUCUGCCUUUGAGCGGGGGACAACAUUUGGAAACGAAUGCUAAUACCGCAUAACAACUUUAAACAUAAGUUUUAAGUUUGAAAGAUGCAAUUGCAUCACUCAAAGAUGAUCCCGCGUUGUAUUAGCUAGUUGGUGAGGUAAAGGCUCACCAAGGCGAUGAUACAUAGCCGACCUGAGAGGGUGAUCGGCCACAUUGGGACUGAGACACGGCCCAAACUCCUACGGGAGGCAGCAGUAGGGAAUCUUCGGCAAUGGACGAAAGUCUGACCGAGCAACGCCGCGUGAGUGAAGAAGGUUGUCGGAUCGUAAAACUCUGUUGGUAGAGAAGAACGUUGGUGAGAGUGGAAAGCUCAUCAAGUGACGGUAACUACCCAGAAAGGGACGGCUAACUACGUG